Molecule: ribosomal RNA, 611 nt
Filed under: uncultured bacterium
Lineage: Bacteria
Description: bacterial SSU rRNA
Rfam family: Bacterial small subunit ribosomal RNA
Source: RNAcentral
CUAACACAUGCAAGUCGAGGGGUAACAAGGAUGUAGCAAUACAUUUGUUGACGACCGGCGCACGGGUGAGUAACACGUAUGCAACCUGCCUGCAACACGGGGAUAGCCCGUCGAAAGACGGAUUAAUACCCGAUAAUACAUUGUUUCCGCAUGGGGAUAUUGUUAAAGAUUUAUUGGUUGCGGAUGGGCAUGCGUUCCAUUAGCUGGUUGGUGAGGUAACGGCUCACCAAGGCAACGAUGGAUAGGGGAACUGAGAGGUUUAUCCCCCACACUGGUACUGAGACACGGACCAGACUCCUACGGGAGGCAGCAGUGAGGAAUAUUGGUCAAUGGGCGAGAGCCUGAACCAGCCAAGUCGCGUGAAGGAAGACGGUUCUAUGGAUUGUAAACUUCUUUUGCAGGGGAGUAAAAAGUGGGACGUGUCCCAUCUUGCAAGUACUCUGCGAAUAAGCAUCGGCUAACUCCGUGCCAGCAGCCGCGGUAAUACGGAGGAUGCGAGCGUUAUCCGGAUUUAUUGGGUUUAAAGGGUGCGUAGGCGGAAGCUUAAGUCAGUGGUGAAAGUUUGGGGCUCAACCUUAAAAUUGCCAUUGAAACUGGGUUUCUUGAGUGUA